This 932-nucleotide ribosomal RNA is filed under the name Russula sp. RNAcentral's name for it is "partial large subunit ribosomal RNA". The record is from RNAcentral. Lineage: Eukaryota; Fungi; Basidiomycota; Agaricomycetes; Russulales; Russulaceae.
UUGAAACUUAGCAUAUCAAUAAGCGGAGGAAAAGAAACUAACAGGAUUCCCCUAGUAACUGCGAGUGAAGCGGGAAAAGCUCAAAUUUAAAAUCUGGUGGCCUUUGGCCAUCCGAGUUGUAAUUUAGAGAAGCGUCUUCCGCGCUGGACCGUGCACAAGUCUCCUGGAAUGGAGCGUCGUAGAGGGUGAGAAUCCCGUCUUUGGCACGGACGCCCAGUGCUUCUGUGAUGCGCUCUCGAAGAGUCGAGUUGUUUGGGAAUGCAGCUCAAAAUGGGUGGUGAACUCCAUCUAAAGCUAAAUAUUGGCGAGAGACCGAUAGCGAACAAGUACCGUGAGGGAAAGAUGAAAAGCACUUUGGAAAGAGAGUGAAACAGUACGUGAAAUUGUUGAAAGGGAAACGCUUGAAGUCAGUCGCGUCGUCCGAGACUCAGCCUCGCCUCGGCUUGGUGUACUUCUCGGCCGACGGGUCAGCAUCAAUUUUGCCCCUUGGAUAAUGGCGAGGGAAAUGUGACACCUUUGCGGGUGUGUUAUAGUCUCUAGUCGCAUGCAAGGGUCGGGAUUGAGGAACUCAGCACGCGCCUUCGGGCGUCGGGGUUCGYCCACGAUACGUGCKUAGGAUGUUGKSGUAAUGGCUUUAAAUGACCCGUCUUGAAACACGGACCAAGGAGUCUAACAUGCCCGCGAGUGUUCGGGUGGAAAAYCCGUGCGCGCAAUGAAAGUGAAAGUUGGRACCUCUGUCGUGGAGGGCACCAACGCCCGGACCAGACCUUCUGUGACGGAUCUGCGRUAKAGCGUGUAUGUUAGGACCCGAAAGAUGGUGAACUAUGCCUGAAUAGGGUGAAGCCAGAGGAAACUCUGGUGGAGGCUCGUAGCGAUUCUGACGUGCAAAUCGAUCGUCAAAUUUGGGUAUAGGGGCGAAAGACUAAUCGAAC